This 292-nucleotide ribosomal RNA is filed under the name uncultured bacterium. Its description in RNAcentral is "partial 16S ribosomal RNA". The record is from RNAcentral.
GGACUACCGGGGUUUCUAAUCCUGUUUGCUCCCCACGCUUUCGCAUCUCAGCGUCAGUGUCGCGCCAGGUGGCCGCCUUCGCCACCGGGGUUCCUCCUGAUCUCUACGGAUUUCACUCCUACACCAGGAAUUCCGCCACCCUCUCACGAACUCAAGCCUUCCAGUUUCAAAAGCAAUUCCAGGGGUGAGCCCUGGGAUUUCACUUCUGACUUAAAAAGCCGCCUACAUGCGCUUUACGCCCAGUAAUUCCGAUUAACGCUUGCACCCUCCGUAUUACCGCGGCGGCUGGCAC